UUGAUUUGGGGUUAAACUAAUCCCAAUCUUAUAUUUCUCCGCCAAUCUGAGGAGCGACCAAACACACCUAAAUUUUCAUCUCUUAAAUUUUCUCGUCAAAGUUGUAUAAUCCCAAACAUUUCUCUCCUAGUGAAGUGUUACAUGUUACGUUGGGUUGAAUUGAGUACUCAAUUUCAGUGACAAGUGAGAGGGCUCUGUAAUGGAGGCCAGGCGCUGUGUAAGAGAGUUGUGGAUGGUUUUUGGGGGAAACAGAAGGUCAAUUUUAGUGAGAAGUGAGAGGGGCUUUGUAUUUUCUUGAUCUUGAUAACAUGGAGGCCAGGCGCCGUGCAAGAGAGGGAAAUUAGCAUCUUUUUUGUAAUGGAGUUGUUGCAAUGGAUUACCCUGGUGGGCUUUAAGAAGGCCUUCCUUCAUGGUUACAUACCAAGUUUUGACUAGCGGGUUGAGUGUUGACGAUGUCAUUGAGCAUUACUUAAAAUUUAAAGACUGUCCUGGAGUUGCUGAAUGCCACAAAAGAGAUAGAGGGACUACUAGAAAGGUGCGUCACCUGUUUCAACUUUUCUUUUGAAUUAGUGUAAAAGUUCAUCGUUGUGUUAAAUUUUUUAAGAAGUUGAUAUCUGAAUAUUUUCCAUUUAUGGGAGUUGCUCCACUGUCCGAAUUUGUUGAAUUCGGUCAUAUGCUUAUUCUAUCAUGUUUUGCUCUUGUAGUUUAGGAAACACUUGUCCUCAUUUAGCUUGAUAAAGAGUCACAAGAACUGUCCAUAUCUGUGCAGACAAGUUAAUUUAGCACAAUUUUAAGUAAUUACACAAGAACUGUCCAUAUCUGUGCAAUUAACCAUCCCGUUUAAAUAAAUACACAAAGCUAUUGUUCAUGCCUUUUUUUG
Molecule: long non-coding RNA, 880 nt
Organism: Solanum pennellii
Lineage: Eukaryota; Viridiplantae; Streptophyta; Magnoliopsida; Solanales; Solanaceae
Exons: 4
Source: RefSeq, a predicted model, not a curated record